UUCUUUUACUCUUAUUUCACCAUCAUUUUUAUUUUCACUUUCGUCUCUUUUGGAAGACCUAGCGACAAUCAAGGUAGUCUUCACUUCCUCUCUCUCUCUUUCGCUUGUUUGACCAGAGGGCAGGCUGAGCCUUGUGCUCGUGCAAGUUUUGUUGUCAAGCAGUAUUGUCGUCGUGCCGGUCUGAGUUACGGUGCCCGUCUUGUUGCUACGUCAGACUAGCCAUUGUGCCAGGCUGGUGGGUGUUGGUUUUGCCGUUGAGUAGUAUUGCUACCAUGCCGGUCUGAGGUACCGCGCCCUUCUUGUUAUAACGUCAAGUCAGUCCCCGCACUAGUCUAGCCACGGUGCCAGCCUAACCGGCCGGUCAAACUUCUUCUCUCACUUUCACUUCACUUAGUAACAAGGUGGGGACCUAUGCCCCAUUCAUUUGUACUUUUAAUAUGUGUGUGUGUUUGCAGGAAAAGAGAAAUAGGUUCAGGGAGGCAAUUCCAAACUGGCCAUAGGCCAGAGGCAUUCCAACGUGAUCUAAGAGGGCACCUGAGCGAGCUAGCCCGGCGUGUCACGAAUCCACGUGAGGCUCGCAGACGGCGCUACUCAUCGCCAUACGCAAAGGUAUCCUCGACGUCUCAGUGAAGAGCAUAGAUAGAGAAACUUAUUGUCGUCCCUCGGGGAUCUCCCCCUGUUGCACGCCGAUCGCAGACGACGAUGCCAAUCACAGACGACGAAGCCAAACGCCGCCUGCGAGGGGUCACGCAACACCUAUCGUUGCCUGCGAGGGGUCACGACAACACCAAUAGCCGCCCGCGAGCUUCCUUCACGCACUCGGUCCGUACCCCAGUCCGCGAGCUUCCGUCAUGUGCUCGGUGCCUAACUCUGCCCACGAGCUUCCUUCGCGCACUCAGUGCCUAUCGUCGUCUGCAAGCCUCUUUCGUGCACUCGGUACUCAUCGACAUUUGUAGGUUCCUCUUAUGUCCCAUGCCUAUCACAGUGUGCCUCAGAAAGAACUAUCGCCACACACUUCACAAAUGGAUAUCGUCGUGGGCUUCGUAAGAGAUUAUCGCCACCCACGCAGAGGUGUGUUGCCUUCUUGUGUCGCCAACGAUGACGCGUAACACCACCUAUAAUUCAUUGUUCACCCUCUACACGUGAGCAGUAGUGUACUGCGUCGUCCACGGACCGUGACACUGCUACUCCAUGAUUGUGGGUGGUGAUGCUUAGCGCUGUCUGAACCUCCUUCCCUCGCCAUCUCGAGCCUUCUCUUCAUUCUCUUCCCUUCUUACUUGACUGAGGGUAGACUCGGUCUAGCCUUGCCAUAGCGGUCUGUGUAACAACCUAGAUUUUCUCGGCCGAAUAGUUUGCAUGGCUGGAAAAGGAGGGAAGGAAAGGAGAAGUGCACAGCGAUAGGAAGGAGAAGCGCUUGGCGAUAGGAAGGAGAAGUGUGUGACGUUAGGAAGGAGAAGAGCGCGGCGGUAGGAAGGAGAAGCACGCGACGAUAGGAAGGAGAAGCGUGCGACGAAGGGAAGGAGAAGUACACUGCGAUAGGAAGGAGAAGCGCACGGCGAUGGUGAAGAACGGGCGGCGAUAGGGAGAGCGUACGAUGAUAGAAGAGAGUGCGGUGGUGUACACAUGGCAGUGAGGACGUAACGCCAAGAGUGAAUGGGGGGCAUCACCGUGUGCGUAACGCCGUGUGCAGCACUGACGUGCAUGGGUGGUGUUCUCCACUUGUCAAGCUUUGGGGAAGCUCUCACCCUCACCUUGGAGCAGCCAUUGUUGAAGUUGAAGGACUAUGGGAAAAGGAUAGGAGGACACCAUAGUUGUUUUAGAGUUAGAGCCUAAUCGCGAGUGGCGGGCAGCGUACCGAUGAUAGCAGAUGUUCGGAGUUCAAACUAGUUCAGGAUUUUUUCUUGACUUUCUAGGUGUAUGGUGGUGUUGCCACGUGUUAUUAUUUUUUAUGUAAUAUUUUUAAGAUGAAUGUUAAGCUUGUGAGCCUCAAACC
Molecule: non-coding RNA, 1993 nt
Organism: Amborella trichopoda
Lineage: Eukaryota; Viridiplantae; Streptophyta; Magnoliopsida; Amborellales; Amborellaceae
Source: RefSeq, a predicted model, not a curated record